AGUGAACGCUGGCGGUAGGCCUAACACAUGCAAGUCGAACGGCAGCACAGUAAGAGCUUGCUCUUACGGGUGGCGAGUGGCGGACGGGUGAGGAAUACAUCGGAAUCUACUUUUUCGUGGGGGUUAACGUAGGGAAACUUACGCUAAUACAGCAUACGACCUACGGGUGAAAGCAGGGGAUCUUCGGACCUUGCGCGAUUGAAUGAGCGGAUGUCGGAUUAGCUAGUUGGCGGGGUAAAGGCCCACCAAGGCGACGAUCCGUUGCUGGUGUGAGAGAAUGAUCGGCCACCUUGGAACGGGGCCACGGUCAUGACUCCUACGGGAGGCAGCAGUGUGGAAUAUUGGACAAUGGGCGCAAGUCUGAUCCAGCCAUACCGCGUGGGUGAAGAAGGCCUUCGGGUUGUAAAGCCCGUUUGUUGGUAAAGAAACGCAGCAGGUUAAUACCCCGCUGUUCUGACGGUACCCAAAGAAUAAGCACCGGCUAACUUCGUG
Molecule: ribosomal RNA, 492 nt
Filed under: uncultured bacterium
Lineage: Bacteria
Description: partial 16S ribosomal RNA
Rfam family: Bacterial small subunit ribosomal RNA
Source: RNAcentral